CUACGGGAGGCAGCAGUAGGGAAUCUUCGGCAAUGGACGGAAGUCUGACCGAGCAACGCCGCGUGAGUGAAGAAGGUUUUCGGAUCGUAAAGCUCUGUUGUAAGAGAAGAACGAGUGUGAGAGUGGAAAGUUCACACUGUGACGGUAUCUUACCAGAAAGGGACGGCUAACUACGUGCCAGCAGCCGCGGUAAUACGUAGGUCCCGAGUGUUGUCCGGAUUUAUUGGGCGUAAAGCGAGCGCAGGCGGUUAGAUAAGUCUGAAGUUAAAGGCUGGGGCUUAACCAUAGUACGCUUUGGAAACUGUUUAACUUGAGUGCAGAAGGGGAGAGUGGAAUUCCAUGUGUAGCGGUGAAAUGCGCAGAUAUAUGGAGGAACACCGGUGGCGAAAGCGGCUCUCUGGUCUGUAACUGACGCUGAGGCUCGAAAGCGUGGGGAGCAAACAGGAUUAGAUACCCUAGUAGUC
Molecule: ribosomal RNA, 464 nt
Filed under: uncultured bacterium
Lineage: Bacteria
Description: partial 16S ribosomal RNA
Rfam family: Bacterial small subunit ribosomal RNA
Source: RNAcentral